Molecule: ribosomal RNA, 253 nt
Filed under: uncultured bacterium
Lineage: Bacteria
Description: partial 16S ribosomal RNA
Rfam family: Bacterial small subunit ribosomal RNA
Source: RNAcentral
UACGUAGGAAGCGAGCGUUGUCCGGAAUCACUGGGCGUAAAGCGCGUGUAGGCGGUACGGCAAGUCUGCUGUGAAAGCGCCCGGCUUAACCGGGCGAGGUCGGCGGAAACUGCUGAACUGGAGGACGGUAGAGGGGGGUGGAAUUCCCGGUGUAGUGGUGAAAUGCGUAGAGAUCGGGAGGAACACCUGUGGCGAAGGCGGCCCCCUGGGCCGGACCUGACGCUGAGACGCGAAAGCAUGGGGAGCGAACAGG